AUGGCUCAUCUCAUCCAUCAUUUCUGUUCUAUCUCUGGUCAAACUCCAAACUGGGCUAAAUCUGCCAUUCUUUUUAGUUCUCAUCUUUUUAGUUCUCAUGUUAGUCAAGCUACUAUUCAGGAGAUUAAGCAAUUUUUUUCUGUUUCAAAUUUGGAUAGUAAUUUCACCCAUCUUGGUCAUCCACUUAUUCUUCCUGCUAAGAAUAGAAGUGUUGCUUAUAACUUUGUGCUUGACAAGUUUAAGAAUAAACUGCCUGCUUAUAAAGCCAAUAUGCUUUCUCAUGCUGCUAGGUUGGAAUUGAUUCGUUCUGUUUUCUCAGCUAUUCCUGUUUAUUAUAUGGCUAACAUUUUGUUCACUAAGAAGUUUCUUGCUAAGCUCACUGAUGUCAGUAGGAAUUUUUGGUGGACAGGUGUCAGGGAAAAUGAUUCAAGCAGGAGUCUUUGUCUUCGAGCAUGGAAAGAUAUUUGCAAUUCUAAAGAAGAAGGUGGCCUAGCUACUCCUUACUCUCCUAAAUCUGCUUUCUGGACCUCUGUUUUGAAAAUGAUGCCUAAGUUAAGAGCUCAUUCUUUUUAUCAAUUGACACAAGGUAAUAUCUCAAUCUGGAGUUCUCCUUGGUGCACUCUUUGGACUAGCAUUCAUGACUAUCUUAAUAUUCAACAACCAAGUUUUAUUUAUCCUUCUUUAGUUAGGGAUCUUUGGCUCCCUGGCCAAAAAAAUUGGAAUAAUGGUUUAAUACAUUUACUUUUUCAGCAACCUAUGGCUUCAGUCAUUGCUCAAACUGAUAUCAUUGAUGAUGACGGCCCAGAUUUACUCUGUUGGAAUCUGACACCUGAUGGAAUUUGUUCUUCCAAAUCUGCUUAUAAGCUUUGUUUGCAGGAAAUUCAUACAAAUCCUAGAGAUGCGCCUUCUGUAUUAUCUCUGGAGCUCAAGGACCUUCUCAAACUGGUCUGGAAACAAAAGCAGCUCAUUCCUAGGGUGCAAACUUUUGCAUGGAGGCUUCUUAGGAGAGCUUUACCUACAGGCUUGCGGGCAGGCCGUUUCUCUAAUCAUAUCUCUCCCAACUGUUGUAGGUGUGGCAUUCAAGAGGAUGAGUUCCAUUUAUUUUCCCUAUGUCCUUUUGCACGAGCUACUUGGUUUGAUUCCCCUUGGUUCAUUAGGUCGGAUGUUUUAGUCCAAGGCCAUGCUUCUAUGCAUUCCAUUCUCAUUGCCUUUCUUCGCAUGGGACAUCCAUACGGUUCUAUUUCAAACAUUCUAAACUUCUUGUGGUGUCUUUGGAAGGCUAGAAAUGAUUAUCUCUUUGAUAGGAAUAAGGCUCCUCCUCAUCAUGUGCACCUUGCCACUAAAGCUUUGUCUUCUGAUGCUUAUAUUGAUUUACCUCACUUGUCUCAGAUGCAGGUGACACCACAAGUACAACUUCCUCUUGAUCAGCUUCCUAUGCAGGGACGAACUCUCCGGUCGGAUUUGCUUGUUUCGGGCCCCAAAAUUUACUCUGAUGCAGCUUUCAGAUCUCGGAAAGUUCCUAGUUUACCACAAGGAGAAAUUGCAACGGGAGUGGGUAUUUAUAUUUCCUUGGCUCAAGAUCAAGUGAAUGUGCAGAUUCAAGCUUCUGCUCCUCCUACUACUUCUCCUCUACAUGCUGAAGCUCUGGCUCUCUCUUUUGUUGCUCAAGUGGCUAGUAAGCUCAAUAUUCUUCGACCAACAUUUCUCAUGGAUUUCCUCUCACUAUCGUCGGUGGCUGCUAUUGGAAGGAUAGUAGAAUCUACCACUCCUUGGUGCAUUAGGAAGCCUUUGGCUACUUUCUUCAACCAUGCUACCAAUCUGUAG
RNAcentral lists this ribosomal RNA (1824 nucleotides) under Triticum aestivum (bread wheat). Its description in RNAcentral is "partial small subunit ribosomal RNA". Lineage: Eukaryota; Viridiplantae; Streptophyta; Magnoliopsida; Poales; Poaceae. The record is from RNAcentral.